GCUCCGGUGGCGAAAUUGGUAACCGCAUUAGGUUUAGGUCCUAACGCCGCAAGGUUUGUCGGUUCGAGUCCGACCCGGAGUA
Corchorus olitorius is the source of this 82-nucleotide non-coding RNA. The record is from Rfam. NCBI's taxonomy places the organism in Eukaryota, Viridiplantae, Streptophyta, Magnoliopsida, Malvales, Malvaceae.